GGGGAGGUCCAUUCGGAGGCGGGCGGCAGCCCCGGGGUCGCCAGUGACGUUGUGGAAGGCCGGGGCGUGGCUUCCUGGGUGGAUACAUGGCAUCUGUGGCUCCUGGGCAAAAAGAAGAAUAGAGGUGAGGGAGAGAAGAAGGGAGAAAGGAGGGGAGGUGCGGCGUCCUAGGCGGGAGCUCGCCGGAGCGGGGCGACGGUGGGCGGGCGCGGGAGACGGAGGGAUUUACAGCCGGCCGGUCGAGCGACACCAACCAGGCCACGGGUGGCGUACACUUUCAGCAGGUAAUUGAUUCAUCUCCCCUCUUUUCCUACUCCCCCUCGAUCUGGUCCUCAAUCGCCAUGUUCUUCAGCUGCUGUCAAAUUGCAUUGGCCUAUCAAAUUUUGUAAUAUACAGAUGCUAUUAUGCUGUCAAAUUCCAUCGGUCUACAUAUUCCAUGUCCAAAGUAAAGAAAUUCAGAUGUUGCAGCUUGAAAACAAGCAAAAACAUGAUCAGUCAUCUGCAGAAUUAAUCUACAUGUAAAUAAGAUUUCUCUUCCAACCAUCUUUCAAAGAUAAAAUCAUACAGCUAAUGAAUCACUUUUAACUAAUACAAGUACACACCACAUUCAGCUCGAUAAUUGGUCAUCUCCCUCCCAUUUUUUGUUUUCUAUUUCCGGUUCAAUCAAGUCAGGACAUCACAGUUCUACAACGCCAUUUUCCCAUCACAUUCAUAGCAAGCCUGCAAGUUCCUUCUAUUCACAACAGUACCUAGCACAUACACAAGUUUGUUGGCCGCCGGAGUUGCUGCACUCGUGGUCGUCGGAGUCUGCCGCCAUGAUCAUGCUCCACAUGCAUGUGGUCUUCGAGUCAGUGUGAUGCCCAUGUGGUUGUCCUCUAGCAGAGCCACGUUGACCGAGCGUGGGAGGUGUGUGGCCGACGGCCGCCCCGCUUGUGGUUCUCUUGGUGUCACUGGCUGUUAGGACACCUAUUUCUGCUUCCUUCUGGAUGAACAAGGGAGAUGGACGUGUCAGUAGAAUUUGAUCUGAAUUGAUCGAUCGGUUUCUUUUGAUGGCUUUUUGUGACAUGACACAUGAUUGAGAAUUAACUUGCUUCAAGAUCUGGUUCACCUCAAACCUCUUUUCCAAAUAUCAAUGGGCUGCCAUUCUCGGAAAUGUAUGAUAUGAUGUACCUUUUUUACUUUGGACUAUCAUUAUGCCAACUCCAAAAUUGGAGUAUUAGUAUGCAUACUCCAGAAAGUUUUUGUGGUCCUGAUACGCACAUCAUGAAGUUGGUAACUGUUGUCGUAUUUACAUUCAGAUUUGACAGGAAUAGAAACUGAACCUAUUAAAUAGUUAUGUUAAGCUAGAUGGGUUAUAACUCUUCAUGCAUUCAUUUUCUGAAUUGUUGUUUAAACAAUGUGAGUAUGAGAAGUUUAACGUCUAUUUUUUAUCGUGAUUGCAGAAAAUGGACCACAACGAUGAACCAACUACUAUUCAGGAUUUUGAUAACCGGCCUUAACAAAAAACAUUCUGAAUUGAGUGUUUUGCAUUCAGAUAAACUAAUAGAUGGUGAUGAAUUUCCAUCACCAACUAUUUCAACAUCAUCUUUGGUCUUCAUAACCAGAUAGACACAUGAACCUCUGCCACCACUGUUAAGCAGUACCUCAGGUGAACUAUCAGCACUGCCUGUCGUCCAACAAUAACAAGCUCAGGUGUUGUAUAUGUAACCAGUUAAUAUACGUGCAAAACUUGCACAUACCCAAAAGCUGGCUGCCAGAUGAUUCCUACGAGAGAACGA
This 1778-nucleotide long non-coding RNA is filed under the name Triticum aestivum (bread wheat). Its description in RNAcentral is "long non-coding RNA (TAES_LNC020044)". The record is from RNAcentral. Lineage: Eukaryota; Viridiplantae; Streptophyta; Magnoliopsida; Poales; Poaceae.